Molecule: ribosomal RNA, 406 nt
Filed under: uncultured bacterium
Lineage: Bacteria
Description: partial 16S ribosomal RNA
Rfam family: Bacterial small subunit ribosomal RNA
Source: RNAcentral
AUUGAACGCUGGCGGCAGGCUUAACACAUGCAAGUCGAACGAGUGGCGGACGGGUGAGUAAUGCUUGGGAAUCUAGCUUAUGGAGGGGGAUAACUACGGGAAACUGUAGCUAAUACCGCGUACCAUAGGAUGAGCCCAAGUGGGAGUAGGUAGUUGGUGGGGUAAAGGCUCACCAAGCCGACGAUCUCUAGCUGGUCUGAGAGGAUGAUGUGCGAGACGGGGAUGGAGACACGGCCCAGACGCCGACGGGAGGCAGCAGUGGGGAGUAUUGCACAAUGGGCGCAAGCCUGAUGCAGCCAUGCCGCGUGUAGGAAGAAGGCCUUAGGGGUGUAAAGUACUUUCAGCGGGGAGGCGUUACCCGCAGAAGAAGCACCGGCUAACUCCGUGCCAGCAGCCGCGGUAAUUC